Molecule: ribosomal RNA, 224 nt
Filed under: Escherichia coli
Lineage: Bacteria; Pseudomonadati; Pseudomonadota; Gammaproteobacteria; Enterobacterales; Enterobacteriaceae
Description: partial 23S ribosomal RNA
Rfam family: Bacterial large subunit ribosomal RNA
Source: RNAcentral
CGGGACACGUGGUAUCCUGUCUGAAUAUGGGGGGACCAUCCUCCAAGGCUAAAUACUCCUGACUGACCGAUAGUGAACCAGUACCGUGAGGGAAAGGCGAAAAGAACCCCGGCGAGGGGAGUGAAAAAGAACCUGAAACCGUGUACGUACAAGCAGUGGGAGCACGCUUAGGCGUGUGACUGCGUACCUUUUGUAUAAUGGGUCAGCGACUUAUAUUCUGUAGC